GAUGAAGAACGCAGUGAAAUGCGAUAAGUAAUGUGAAUUGCAGAAUUCAGUGAAUCAUCGAAUCUUUGAACGCACAUUGCGCCCGCCAGUAUUCUGGCGGGCAUGCCUGUUCGAGCGUCAUUUCAACCAUCAAGCCCCCGGCUUGUGUUGGGGACCUGCGGCUGCCGCAGGCCCUGAAAACCAGUGGCGGGCUCGCUGUCACACCGAGCGUAGUAGAUUUUCAUCUCGCUCAGGGCGUGCUGCGGGUUCCGGCCGUAAAAAGCCUUAUUUACCCAAGGUUGACCUCGGAUCAGGUAGGAAGACCCGCUGAACUUAAGCAUAUCAAUAGCGGAGGA
This 335-nucleotide unclassified non-coding RNA is filed under the name soil metagenome. RNAcentral's name for it is "partial contains 5.8S ribosomal RNA, internal transcribed spacer 2, and large subunit ribosomal RNA". The stretch from base 1 to 120 matches the Rfam family "5.8S ribosomal RNA", at positions 35 to 154 of the family's 154-position model. The record is from RNAcentral.